This 641-nucleotide small RNA is filed under the name Histoplasma capsulatum var. duboisii H88. Its description in RNAcentral is "Histoplasma capsulatum H88 hypothetical RNA". Lineage: Eukaryota; Fungi; Ascomycota; Eurotiomycetes; Onygenales; Ajellomycetaceae. The record is from RNAcentral.
CAACAACAGUCGACCGCCCGUCAUGGUCUGGACCAGAAGGACGCCAAGGUGUGAUUUGGUUGGUGCAUGGUCUGGUUACCCAUUUUUAUCAGGGACAGGAGUGUGCCAAGCCAUGCUCUCAUAAAAACCCAUGUCUUGGUGUCCUUAAGGAUGCCAAGACAUGAUCCCCGAUCAUGACACGCCACCAUGGUGAUGGAAGAAGGAAACAGAGGAAAGAAAUUCAAUUGUUAAGUUCUCACUUUAGAAGAUCUUGAGCCAUUUAUAAAGAGCAACAGCUGACUCUACCAAGUGUAAGAAUCUCUUUUUGAAAACCUAAGCUGCUCAAACCUAUUCUACACUUUUAUCAGAUGAAUCCGAGGCGGGAAGGAGCCCAUAUAUAUACCCAGGGUGGGGAAAGUGAUCAUGAGAGUUCAGGCAGUGCAGCCUCCUGCUAGGAGUUUUUGUUGGUGUCAACACCCCCUUCAAAACUGUACCUGAGGGCUGAAGUCCAAUCAGGCCAGAGGCACAGUGGCAGAAGAAGGUUGACAAAAGGCCAGGGACUACAUCAUGUGGUCACUAGCACAAUGACCAAGGGAAGGGGUGCUAUGGCCAGUGCUUAAAGAUAUGUGCAGUAGGUCCACUGACCUAGGUUGUCAUGCUGG